This is a long non-coding RNA of Manis pentadactyla (Chinese pangolin), 2011 nucleotides long. RefSeq lists it as uncharacterized. NCBI's taxonomy places the organism in Eukaryota, Metazoa, Chordata, Mammalia, Pholidota, Manidae. The record is from RefSeq and is a predicted model, not a curated record. The transcript is spliced from 3 exons.
GCCGGGAUCGGAGCCCUGGGAAACCGCCAGCUGCGUUCGCAGUGACGGCUCGGUUUCCUGAGGAGCUGCGGGACGGAAAGGUUAGGGAAGGCUCCCCGUGGUAGCGCUCCUUUUCAGGGGCCGAGGGAGAAAGGCGUGCGGCGGGGAAUGGCGUCUUCGCGGAGUUUGAGGGCGAGGCGGGCGCGGGUUGUACCAAUGCCCAAGGACAAGUGGCUACAUGUGAUCCUCCGACAUGCCUUCUAAUGAGCCCUGGACCCCUGCAAAGUCUGGCUGUGGGGAUCCUGGGCUGCGGCAGGAGUUCGCACCAUGUCCCGGAGGCCACAUCUGUCACCCUGCAGCCCCCGCUGCUGCGUCUCCAGGCCCGCUGUCUCGGCCACGUUCAUGCCAGGAGGGAUGAUGUGGGUCCUGUCUGCGCAGGGGACCUGGGGAAACAUCGCAGACUCACCACUAACAGAAACAAAAAUUCCCUAUCUCAUUUACUCUUCACUCAGACCCCUUGUAAGGACCUCUCCACCCCCAUUUUGUACAUGAGGACAUUGAGAUUUAGAGAGAUUACGUAGCUUUAAAGUGAUUACAACCAUUAAAAGAUGUCUCAGGACGCAAUCACGGUGCCUCCUGUCCUGGUGACGGUGGAAAUGGCAAAAGCGCCCCCUUUAAAAAGACAUGAGUUUCCUACAUUUUCUAGUUGCUCCUGAGUAGCAAGGAGGUAGAAACCUCGAGGAGGUGCAAGGUAGUGGAUGGAGGCAGAGUGGCCCCGGGUGAGCCAGGUGGAUGGGAGUUGCCAUCAGUCCUCACAGCAUCCCUGGGAGGCAUCGGCAUCUUCCCCAUUCGCUCACAAGGGGCUGAGGCUUCUGCUCUGCAUGGGCCUUAGGCAGCAUCGGCAGGAAAUGGAGUUGCUGGAAGGGGAGACCUGACCACUAUCAUCAGCUGCCCCUGAACUCUCCCUCUCCUGGGAUAUGCCCCAAGCUGCACUGUGUACCUAUUAUUUACUUAAUGCUCAUGGCAGCCUGCCUACGUGGUGUGUCACUGUGCAUUUACAGUCACCUAGUGUCAGAGCUUUGAGACUGCCACAUGAAAUGCAGUCUCUUUACUUUUCCAUCCUUGCAUCGUUUCCAAGGUUUGGUCAUUUUGAGAACAGUCAGGCAGGGGACACAUUGUCCAUUUUCACAGUAUUUCAGUUCUGGGUCUGAAAGACCUAGAUUAGAGGAGGAAAAAAAGUCAUAUAAAAUGCAGAGAAGAUUAAAGUUCUCUGUUUUUGUAAAAAAGAAAAAAUGGAGAGAAGCUUAUUUCUCAUUUGAUUCAACUAGCCUAGGUAACAAGCAACACCUCAGGUCACUUCUUAACAUCACUCCACAUGACUGCAGACAGCCUCCCCGACGUUACCAUUUGAGGCUGACACUGAGGUUAUUCUAAAUAAUACUUUAGUUUCUUCACCCCAGCAUGGUAGAAUUAUGUGUCUGUACCUUUUAUGACUUCAUGUUCUUGAAAUUAGGUGUGAAUCAGGUAUAAGCUUGCCUGGAGCUGCUGCAUUUACUUGAUAUUAUAAAGUGAAAGUCACGUGUGUAAUACACAUGUCUGAGUUGUGCUGUUCUGUAAAAGUUUGCAAAUACGUCCUUUUGAACCAAAGGGAAAGAAAAUGUAGGAUCUUCCUUUUGUGGGGCAAGGUAAUGCUCAGAAGAAUGUUGGGGGCCGGGUUCUGAACUCUGCCUCUGCUCCUCACAGUGGCAUUCUGAGGCCCUGCUCUUGGGGAGGGUGAAGUGGUGAGCGUGGGCCUGAGAGACUCCCCGCUGAUUGGCAGGGUUCUGGGUUCUGUGGGAGGUGGGGGUGUUACUGCCUAACAAUUCAUUAAUCUGUCCAUCUGUUUUAGGCAGUUUUCUGGGUUUGUGUUAUAUUUAACAGUUUUAAAAAGUUGGUUUGCUUUAAAGAGGUGCCUCCUGUCCAGGUGAGGGUGAGUUCAUAUUGAAAUUUUCUAUUCAAAUUUAACAGUACUGAAGUUUUACUUUAACUUAAA